This 743-nucleotide ribosomal RNA is filed under the name uncultured bacterium. RNAcentral's name for it is "bacterial SSU rRNA". It matches the Rfam family "Bacterial small subunit ribosomal RNA", at positions 8 to 724 of the family's 1533-position model. The record is from RNAcentral.
AGGGUUUGAUCCUGGGCUCAGAACGAACGUUGGCGGCGUGCUUAACACAUGCAAGUCGAACGAGAACGUCCCGGCUUGCCGGGAUUAGUAAAGUGGCGCACGGGUGAGUAACACGUGAGUAAUUUCCCUCUAAGCUUGGGAUAACACUGCGAAAGCGGUGCUAAUACCGAAUAAGACCACGGUAUCACAUGAUACAGUGGGAAAAGGUGGCCUCUGUGUAUGCUAUCACUUGGAGAUAAGCUCGCGGACCAUUAGCUUGUUGGUAGGGUAACGGCCUACCAAGGCUGAGAUGGUUAGCUGGUCUGAGAGGAUGAUCAGCCACACUGGAACUGAGACACGGUCCAGACUCCUACGGGAGGCAGCAGUGGGGAAUAUUGCGCAAUGGGGGAAACCCUGACGCAGUGACGCCGUGUGAGUGAUGAAGGUUUUCGGAUCGUAAAGCUCUGUCAGAUGGGAAGAAUAAAGGCAGGGAAAAUAUUUCUGCCUGAUGACGGUACCAUCAAAGGAAGCACCGGCUAACUCCGUGCCAGCAGCCGCGGUAAUACGGGGGGUGCAAACGUUGUUCGGAAUUACUGGGCGUAAAGCGCAUGUAGGCGGAUACGGAAGUCAGAUGUGAAAGCCCUUGGCUCAACCAAGGAAGUGCAUCUGAAACCACGUAUCUUGAGUAUGACAGAGGGAAGUGGAAUUUCCAGUGUAGAGGUGAAAUUCAUAGAUAUUGGAAAGAACACCGGUGGCGAAGGCGG